CAGUGUUCUCCCGCCACUAAGCGCUUCCGGAACAGCUCCGGCGCAGGAGAUGAGCUAGGGCUACUUCUCUGUGUCCGCGGGGCUGUUACCCACUAGGAGUGUGAACUUGGCAAGUCCCACAUCGCCAAAACUGUCCGGGGUGGUGGUGGUGAUGGUGAUUGGCGAACGGAAGUCCACCCUGCUCGGAGCCGCGCGGCUCAGGUCCCAGGCCCGACAUUGCUUCUUACUACCGGCGACCUGCCUGACCUCUAGGCCUCAGCAGGAAUCCCUGCAGAUCAGAAAAUUCCACAUUCGCUCGCCGCACACAGUCAAGUUCCAUCCUUAAGGGACCUGCAGCCCUGUUCCCAGAAGAACAAUCUCUCCUUCCUACUCCUCAGCUCUGUGCCUUUAAACUCAUGCAAAUGACAAGCCCAAGAGGCAUUUCUUAGUCCACAGAUACCUAUUAGCCAUCUAGUAAAUGUCAGGUACUGUUCUGUGCUGUGGGAAAAUGUUUGGUAAUAAAGGUUCUACCUUCCUCCAAUUUAUAUUUUAGGCAGCAACUUCUGGCAAGCAAGAAAACAAAUAGCCUGCAAGGUAAUUGGUGCUGUAAUUAAAAAAUGUUGAAGGGAUAGACUAAAUUAAUGUGAUCAAGAUACGAUCAAGAUAAUAAGCCAUCCCCCCUUCAAACUUUGUUUUAGGGAAUUUGGCUAAAGUGAAAUAAAAUAUGUUUCUGUUUCCCUGAGUCUCAAAGAAAUGCAGCCAAAUGCACCCAAUUCUAACUACCAUGCCUAGCUAGGAAUUAGUUUUUGACUAGCUUUUUUUUUUUUUUUUUAAUCGAACUCACAACCACACAUUUGCAAGGCAGGUUCUUAUGCCACUGAGCUAAAUCCCCAGCCCAGGAAUUAGUUUUUGAAAGAGCAAAAUUUGGCAAAGUCCUUUUCUUUUUUAGUCAAAUAAUAUUGCAUACUAAUCAAAUAUUACCUAAGCUGGUUUUUUUUUUUUUUUUUGUCUUUUUGACAGGGGUCUUGCUAUGCAAUUCAGGCCAGUCUUGAGCUGACUUUGUAGCCCAGCCUGGUCUUGAGUUUGCAAUGAUCCUCCUGCCUCAGCCUCUCAAGUCCUGGGAUUACAGGCAUGUGCCACUACACCGGCUUUAAACUGUUUUCUUAGCUUUGAUGUAAAGAAGAUUCUUGUCUUGACUAUUGGACUUGUCAAAGUUCUAAAAUUUUUUCAAACCUCCCUCAUCUCAGGACAGACAAGCAAAACCACAAGGACAGUGAGCACAACUGCUUUUCUCUCUUGAAGUAACCUUCAUUACCAUUAGACCCCAAAAUUAGUAAGAGUUAGAUGGACAUGGUGGUGCAUGCCUGUAAUUCCAGGGCUCAAGAGUCAGGCAAGAUGAAUGCCUUGAGUUCUCUGCCAGCAUGGGCUACAUAAUGAGUUCAAGCCACCCUGAACUACAUAGCAAGACCCUGUUUAAAAAAAAAACAAACCAAAAAACGAUUGAUGACUCAUGUUACAGUGAGAGAUAAGCAUCCUAUGUACCCAACACAGAAACUAAUAGUUCAGCAAGCAUGUGGCACUCUUGAGGCACACAUGAAAUAUAAGGACUGGAGAAUUUAUGUUUUUCUUCUCUCUGCCUGUAAUUUACAAGCAUUUUCUCCUAAGCAUAGAAAACUCAGGCCAAACUCCUAGUUUGUCAAGUCUGGUUGUUCCCAGAGAAAGGAAGCAGUGUCAUAGGGCAACACCCAGGAGAAUCUAGGACCUGCUUUUACAAGGUUUUCCAAGGUCCCUGAAUAGAACAAAGAGAAAGAACCAGGGAUGUGGAAAACGGGGCAGGAGCACUCCAGAGUGCCCGUGAGGGAUGGCAAUAAGCCCAGUGUGCUGGUGAUGAGAAAGGGAGGCAGCGUUUCUGAAACCUGGUGACAGAAGAGGAAGAGAAGAGUGGACUAAGCCUGGAAGACACAGAGCCAGAUGCCAUCAGGUUUUAGCCCGUGAUCCCAGCACUUGCCGGGGCCUGUGCCAGGAAAUCCCAGCAAGUUCAAGGCUACAUAGCGCAACCCCAUCUCAGAAAUAAAUAAAUACAUACAUACAAAGCAAAACAGGUGAUGUGGGGUCUUGUAGCUACCAAGAGAGCCAUAGGCAGAUUGUGUUCCAGAUGACUGGUUGCAACAUGUAGAAUGCGUUUUAUUCAAAAGACGAAAAGAGGAAGACACAGAAUAAUCUACAAGGGACAGCUGGGGGGUUGCAGCGGGGAGGGCCCUCUCAAGAAAGUACAGCAAAGUAGGUAAAGUCAAAAGAGAUUUACAUGAUAAAGGUGUGGGCAUGGGGGCAGGUGAGAAAGAGGUUAAAAUGGCUGUUAGAUCUCGGGUUCCAGGAGCUGAAGUCUCGGGGCAUUCUGCUCAUUAGGCUUCCUGCCCAGGGGAAUACUAGGUAGCAAGAACUGAGCAAUCGCAUUGCCUGACAUGGAACAAUGACAAGCAUGGCCUGUGAUUUUCUGUCACUUUGGAUCGCAGAAGCCUAGAGAGAAGCCACUUCUGAGUUUUAGAGCCACCUUGUGGUCAUAAGAGGUACUGCUGGUGUCUGGACGUGCCUCCCGAAAUGACCAUUCACUUUAGGGUAGGACCCCAUGUCCGAAUAUCUGAACUAGUGAAAAAGCCAAAAUUAUGUAAAAUACAGGAAAUGGUAUAUAUAUAUAUAUAUAUAUAUAUAUAUUUUAAAUUUUUUAUCGGUACCGGAGGUCCAACUCAUGACCACACGCUUGCAAGGCAGGCACUUAUGCCGCUGAGCUAAAUUCCCAGCUCAGGAAAUGGUAUAUUAAGCUCCUGUGAAACCGUAGUAGGUUUUCGAAUAGUUUCUGCUUCAACCAUUACCAACACACAGCCUCGAUUCAGCAAUAGCAUCUCCCAACUCCCACUGGGUUGUUUUGAAGCAAAUUCUAGACAUCAUCAAAAAGCCAAUAUACUUACUUCGCACACGUCAACAAAAUGCUUCUAAAGUUUAUAUGGAUUGCUUUCGUGUGUGUGUGUGUGUGUGUGUGUGUGUGUGUGUGUGUGUGUGAUAGGGUUACUCUACAACUAUACUAAAUACUCAGCCGUUUUUAUUUUUUAAUUUUGAUACAGGCUCUGAACUUGAAAUCCUCCUGUCUCAGCCUCCCAAGUAGUUCCAACUAUAGGCAUGCAUCGCCUGCAUAGCCCAGCCUGCUUUUCAAUUUUAUUUUAUUUUAUUUUUGGAAACAUGGUUUCAUUUUGUAGCUCAAGCUGGCCUUGAACUCGGGGCAAUCCUCCUGCCUCAGCCUCCUGAGUGCUGAGAUUACAGGUAUACGCCACCACACCUGGCUACUUUUUAAUUAAAAUUAUUUUGGAGGUCUGGAUCAUUCAUUGUUUUUAUGUUAACUUAACCAUCAGCAAACAGAAGAGUGAAUAAAACAUAAGCAACUCAUUGAAAGCAAUCAAUUUAUUAGCACAGAUUUUUUUGUUUUGUUUUGUCUCUAAUUGUUUAUUGGUACAUUUUAGGUACACGUUAUGACCACAUCCAUCAUAAGGAAUUUGUACCUAUACAUGAUGUAUCUUGAUUCUCUUUUUCCCCAUCCCUCUACCUCCCUUCAGCCUUUCUUUCCUUCCCUAUUUACAAAAAGCUGUUUCUUUUUUUUUUCUUUUCUCAUUUUUCCUUUCCUCCUCGCUCCUCCCUUCCUAUUUCACAGUAUCUGUUACACAUUUUGGUCCUUAUUUACACUUCUGGCUUCUCAUACCACAGAAACAAUGUGGCGUUUACACAUGGGUGUCUGAUUUAUUUCAUUUAAGAAUAGGGGCUCAAGGUGCCUACAUUUACCUAGAAAUAUCUCAAGAUUAUCUUUCUUUAUGGCAGAGUAGGACUCUAUCUUAUAAAAAUUCAUACCUUCUUUAUCCGUUCAUCAGUUGAUGGGCGUUGGGACUGUUUCCAGGGUUUAGCUAUUACAAACUACAGCUGCACAGAUUUAAGCAUCGCUAGGAAUCUCUCCUAGUGUCGCUGCUUGUCUAUAAAGCUCGUCCUCAAAAUAACAAAGCUGAUCUGAGCUGUUCUUCACUAUUGCUUUUCCUGUAUUACUUUUUAAAAGAGCCAGAAGCCAGGAAUGGCACCUGUAAUGCCAGCACUUGGAGGUUGAGGCAGGAGCAUUGCCACAAGUUUGAGGCCAGCCUGGGCUAUGUAGGGAGGUCAAGGGCAGCCUAAAAUCAGUCGAUUGAUUGAUUGAUCGAUCGAUCCAGAUCAGGAUAGUGACAUGUAUUAAAUCCGAUGUACCUAUGGUGUUGAGAUCAGGUUGUUUCGUUGAGACACAGCAUGGCGGAAGUCUGUCUCUGAAGCUGCCAUCCUGCACAGGCUCAUAAAGGCAGAGACAAUGAAUCCUUUUCUCUCUCUUCUUUCUAACUUCUCUGAAAGAUUUCUUGAUUCUUUCCCUCUAUAAUUAUAGACCUAUUCUUUUACCUGAAUUUUUUUCUUUUUAAAAUUCUGAGUUGCAAGAAAAAAAAAUUCUGGGUUGCUGCUCUUAUAUUAACAAUAUGAUGACCCCAUAAGAGUACCAAAAUAUUCCCCCAGAUUGAAAUCCAAGUUGAUCAAAACAUAAACCAAAAGCUGGAUGCGGUGGCUCACCCAGUAGUUAGGAGGCUGAGGCAGGAGGAUCAUCGCGAGUUCUAGAACAGCCUGGGCUACAAAGUGAGUUCAAGGCCAGCCUGGACUGCAGAGAGACCCUGUCUCAAAAAGACAAAAACAAAACAAAACAAACAAACACCAUAAGCCAGAAUGUGUGACUAUACUGAAUUAUAAAAGACAGCAGGGAGAAAAGUCACCCUAAACCACUACCUGAUAGUUCUCAUCUUGCCUGGGAGAAGGAAGCAGCAAGAGGAAACCACAGAGAUGUCAAAGCUCACAAGGAUUGAAAGUAAGGACAGAAGCCCGGAGUGGCAGAGUACACCUGUAAUCCCAGCACUCAGGAGGCUGAGGCGGGAGGAUCACAGUGCGUUCUAGGUCAUCCUGGGCUCCACAGGAAGUACAAGACCACCCUGGACUGCAUAGUGAGGCUCAAAAAAAAAACAAAACGAGCUGGGUGUGGUGGCAUACACCUGCAAUCUCAGCACUGAAGAGGCCAAGACCUGAAAGACGGUAAAUUUGAGGCCAGUCUGGGCUAUACACGGUGAAACUGUCUCAAAAAAAAAAAAAAAAAAAAAAAAAAAAAAAAAAAACCACAACAACAACAACAAACCGCAAAAGAGAGACUCAUGGGGGUAACUACGGUCAGCAGAUCAAUGUUGUGGGAGAACAAGAUCCUUAGAGUUAUUACCCAGGGUCACUUAAUGCCAGGCCUCGGAAGUUCUGUGAGCUUUGACAUCUCUGUGAUUUCUAAUAACUUUCAAGAAAGCUGUUGAAAAAAAUCUGGGUUGCUCUGGGGAUGGGCAGGAAUCCACCGGGAAGGGUCAGAGGGAGAAUUUUCUGGAGGAGCGGAAAUAGCCUAUGUAUCUUGAAAGAGAUGUGAGGCUGUAUUUGUCAAAAUUCAUUGAAACAUACACUUAAAACCUAUCCGUACUUUUUGCUGUGUGUAAAUUAUGCCUCAAAAAUUUAAGUACAAAAACAAUUUAAGUGCAGAAUUUAUUUCCCCCAAAGAUUUUUACUUGCUAAUGGCAGGGCUUUCCCAAACCGGUUUAAAAAUUAGAAUCUCCACACCUGGGGACUGGGCUGGGGAUUUCUGAAGGUCCCGCAGGAGUCUGCACCCUGCUGGAGGAAGUCAUGGCCUGCGGCUUCGGGGGUCCUGGACGCUGGCCCGGCCCCGCCGUGGUCUGCCAGGCGUCGGUCUCUGUGUGAUCCUGGACAGUCCUCGCCGGGCUGUGAGAUCGGGGUUCCUUGGUGAUCAGGUCAGCGCCCCGCUCCCGCUCGGCGUUCCACAGCGUGGCGCUCCAGGGCAGGGUGGGAGGCACCGAUGAGGCCUCCGAACCCCGGUGGGCGGGCACCAGCCGCAAGGCUCGGCCUGCCGGCCCAGCGUCCACCCGGUAGACCGAGCAGCCGGCCUCCAGCCGCCUGGACGAGCAAUGGCCAAAGGGAAACCUGUCCACGCUUCCUCCUGGCCGGCCUCGUGGCGCAACGGUAGCGCGUCUGACUCCAGAUCAGAAGGUUGCGUGUUCAAAUCACGUCGGGGUCAGGUUCUUUUUCUGGGUCCAAUUUCGUUCCCCUUAUUCCUAAAUCUAGCACGCGGGCCCGAAAAAAAGAAAAGAA
Cavia porcellus (domestic guinea pig) is the source of this 6216-nucleotide long non-coding RNA. RefSeq lists it as uncharacterized. Lineage: Eukaryota; Metazoa; Chordata; Mammalia; Rodentia; Caviidae. The transcript has 2 exons. The record is from RefSeq and is a predicted model, not a curated record.